This 426-nucleotide ribosomal RNA is filed under the name Triticum aestivum (bread wheat). Its description in RNAcentral is "partial small subunit ribosomal RNA". Lineage: Eukaryota; Viridiplantae; Streptophyta; Magnoliopsida; Poales; Poaceae. The record is from RNAcentral.
AUGAACUGGAAGAGGCUGAGCUCGCGGUCGUCGUCAUCAUCGUCGAUCCAGCGGCCACUGGCCUCCAUUCGUCGCGCCAAGACGUCGAGGAACUCCGCCAUCGUCGUCUCCGUCGCCCUCGCCUAUCGGUUAGAGCUCGGACGGCCUACUACCUCGCCAUCACGCGGUCUUCUCUGCCACGGCAGCCGCAUCUCGUCGAUGAGCGCGAUGCGUCCGGCCACCUCGAGUCGUCCUCGGGCCGUCCCUGCAAUGGCAACCCUGAGACUGCCGGCGACCCCCAGUUCGACUACGGUGUUGACGACCCCUCCUACUUGCCAGAGCAACCAGACCCUGAGACUGCCGGCGACCCCCAGUUCGACUACGGUGUUGACGACCCCUCCUACUUGCCAGAGCAACCAGGGCGACGAGGAGGGGAUCGCCGGGUAG